This 460-nucleotide ribosomal RNA is filed under the name uncultured bacterium. RNAcentral describes it as "partial 16S ribosomal RNA". It matches the Rfam family "Bacterial small subunit ribosomal RNA", at positions 338 to 795 of the family's 1533-position model. The record is from RNAcentral.
CCUACGGGGUGCAGCAGUGAGGAAUAUUGGUCAAUGGACGCAAGUCUGAACCAGCCAUGCCGCGUGCAGGAAGACGGCUCUAUGAGUUGUAAACUGCUUUUGUACGAGGGUAAACGCAGAUACGCGUAUCUGUCUGAAAGUAUCGUACGAAUAAGGAUCGGCUAACUCCGUGCCAGCAGCCGCGGUAAUACGGAGGAUUCAAGCGUUAUCCGGAUUUAUUGGGUUUAAAGGGUGCGUAGGCGGUCGGAUAAGUUAGAGGUGAAAUCCCGAGGCUCAACUUCGGAAUUGCCUCUGAUACUGUUCGGCUAGAGAGUAGUUGCGGUAGGCGGAAUGUAUGGUGUAGCGGUGAAAUGCUUAGAGAUCAUACAGAACACCGAUUGCGAAGGCGACUAUCUGGCACAUAACUGACGCUGAGGAGCGAAAGCGUGGGUAGCAAACAGGAUUAGAUACCCCAGUAGUC